AUAAAUGUUAAAAAAAAAAAAAAACUUGUUUUUGAAGGCAUUUUAGGAAUAUGAAAAUUUCUUAUUUCCUAUAUAUACCAUAUAUUUAACACAUUCAUAUCUCCUUCCAUUUUCUCAUCUCUCUCAACUCUCUAAUAUUUUCCACUAUCUAAUAACCUAGUUUUUUGGUGCCUAAUUUUUGAUAUUUUCCCCUCCUAAAAAUCUAGCUGAUUCAAUCCUAAGCCGUCUCAAACCAUAAUCACCAAUGAACUGGACUGAACUUAGCCCUGAACUUUCUAGAACAGCCUAGUGAUGUUGUCAUGAUCACCUGGGUCCUGGAAUAAUGGAUAUAGGGUUCCUGGAUUGCCUGAAAUCAAAGAACAAGAUGUGACUAUUUGAUAACUACUCCGACACUAAAGUUAUCAAAGAAUGUGAAAGACACACCUUCGCAAAAAACUAUCACUAUAAAUCACGGCUGUGUCCUUGAUUUCUUUCCUUAUUUGAUCCCAGCCGCAUUUUUCGGAACAACGUUAUUCCUGGUCAUUCGAUCAUAUAUCAAGGGAACCGAUCUCCCAUGCUACUGUUUUAUCAUAUUCAGAUCUUAUAGAGAUCAGAUAAUCUGAGAUAAUUUGACUGUUGCAGAUCGCCUCCGCCCCGUUCUGUUACUUGAAUCCAAUCAAUGUCAUUUCGGGCAUGGGUACAGUUGACCCGACCCAUAGAGUUUCGAUUUUGGAGCUAGACUAUAUCACCUAGUUGGUGUGGUUCCGGUUCAACCCCUUAAUAAAUUCUUAACUGCUGGUUCCUGGCCUGGUCUCUAUAGGAGUCUAUUGGUCCAAGUUAUGGAAUAACAAAAGAAUCCAUUUUUGUGUGGACAUGGUUACUACAGUUUUCAUUUUAAUUUCAGGUCAAUGUGGAUCUCAUGGAGUUCCUCAAGGGAAGGAAAAGCUGAGUGAGAGUAGCUUGAGGGAUCUUUUGAAUGGAUCAGAAUAUAUGCUUACAUAUGAGGAUAAGGAUGGUGACUGGAUGCUUGUAGGGGAUGUACCAUGGGAGAUGUUUAUUGACACAUGCAAGAGACUAAAGAUUAUGAAGAGCUCUGAUGCGAUUGGGUUAGGUAUGACUUCUUUAUCUAAUGAAUUAACAGAAGUAGAAAUUUUAAUUCCAGUUGGGGUUAAUGGAUUUAUUACCCAGUUGUUUCCCCCAAAAUGAAGAAAAUGGGUCUGUUUUAUUGUUGGGAAGGAAACAAUUUUUAUGGUUAUGACAACAUUUGUGUGAAUGGCUUGUGCUGACAUAAUUGUGUGCGAAGAGUAAUGUGAAUGGUAAUGGUGGAUAAGAGUUCUAGCUUUCUAGGUCUUUAGAUUGUCAUACGCCUGGUAAAAUGGCAGCACUGUACAGCUGACACCAUUGUUUUCAGUGUUUUGCUAUUGUGUUUGAAGAGUAAAUUGGUUGCAUUUCUUUUUCAUUUGGUUAUCCUUACUAUGUUUCUACUAUUGUUGUCAUUAUUUUUUCAAGAGUUGAUGUUCCUACUCUUCUUAGCUUCAUUUUUUUGGUCUGAUGCACAGCUCCCCGGGUGGUGGAGAAAUCCAAGGUCAAGGCCUAGAAAGGGACUCUGGUUAUGCUCAAAGAGGAAUGCUUUUAUCGAUUGAAGAAAUGUGGCAACAAGAUGGUUGAUGUGGUUCAGAUGCAACGCCUGAUUUAUGUUUUGAUUGCAUAAAGAAGUGGAUGUUAGUUUAUGCUUGUUUCAAGCCUGAUUGGUAUAAAAACUGCUUUAUGUUAUUAAAAGAAAAGGUUACGGAGUUAAUAUAUCUAUAUAGGAGUUAAGUUUUCUUGAAGUGUUGUGUAUCUGAUGACUGAUGAAUCAAAGAUGACUCGAGUAUUGUGAUUCAACUGCUGUUUUCAUGGAUUUUAUUGUGAUGUUAUUUGUUUGCUUCAUUGAAAGCUUUGGGAUACUGAAUCCUGUCGGGCCACGUAGCUGAGUCUCUGGGGUGUCUAUUUCAAUGUUAGCAGAACUGAGCUACAGUGAUGGAUCUGAUUGACCGACUGAGACUUGAGUCUUUAUGUGUACUUCCAUUUUGAAUGCAUCAGAUUGUGUUCAUCUUGUUCAUGUGGGGGAAAGAAGCGUUAAUGAUGAUUUAUUUAGAGGUUACAGGCACGUUGUUUCCUUCAGGAAUGGGAAUGGAAUUGGGCAUCUGUUCUUCUGGCGUGUGCACGUUUUUGAGUUCAGCUGAAUCCACGUCUCUGGGAUGGAAUUUGAAGGUAAUUGAUAA
Molecule: unclassified non-coding RNA, 2243 nt
Filed under: Hevea brasiliensis (rubber tree)
Lineage: Eukaryota; Viridiplantae; Streptophyta; Magnoliopsida; Malpighiales; Euphorbiaceae
Source: RNAcentral